AUGACGCUGGCGGCAGGCUUACACAUGCAAGUCGAGCGGAGAGAGGUAGCUUGCUACCGAUCUUAGCGGCGGACGGGUGAGUAAUGCUUAGGAAUCUGCCUAUUAGUGGGGGACAACAUUUCGAAAGGAAUGCUAAUACCGCAUACGUCCUACGGGAGAAAGCAGGGGAUCUUCGGACCUUGCGCUAAUAGAUGAGCCUAAGUCGGAUUAGCUAGUUGGUGGGGUAAAGGCCUACCAAGGCGACGAUCUGUAGCGGGUCUGAGAGGAUGAUCCGCCACACUGGGACUGAGACACGGCCCAGACUCCUACGGGAGGCAGCAGUGGGGAAUAUUGGACAAUGGGCGCAAGCCUGAUCCAGCCAUGCCGCGUGUGUGAAGAAGGCCUUAUGGUUGUAAAGCACUUUAAGCGAGGAGGAGGCUACUUUAGUUAAUACCUAGAGAUAGUGGACGUUACUCGCAGAAUAAGCACCGGCUAACUCUGUGCCAGCAGCCGCGGUAAUACAGAGGGUGCAAGCGUUAAUCGGAUUUACUGGGCGUAAAGCGCGCGUAGGCGGCUAAUUAAGUCAAAUGUGAAAUCCCCGAGCUUAACUUGGGAAUUGCAUUCGAUACUGGUUAGCUAGAGUGUGGGAGAGGAUGGUAGAAUUCCAGGUGUAGCGGUGAAAUGCGUAGAGAUCUGGAGGAAUACCGAUGGCGAAGGCAGCCAUCUGGCCUAACACUGACGCUGAGGUGCGAAAGCAUGGGGAGCAAACAGGAUUAGAUACCCUGGUAGUCCAUGCCGUAAACGAUGUCUACUAGCCGUUGGGGCCUUUGAGGCUUUAGUGGCGCAGCUAACGCGAUAAGUAGACCGCCUGGGGAGUACGGUCGCAAGACUAAAACUCAAAUGAAUUGACGGGGGCCCGCACAAGCGGUGGAGCAUGUGGUUUAAUUCGAUGCAACGCGAAGAACCUUACCUGGGCCUUGACAUAGUAAGAACUUUCCAGAGAUGGAUUGGUGCC
This 994-nucleotide ribosomal RNA is filed under the name Acinetobacter calcoaceticus. RNAcentral's name for it is "bacterial SSU rRNA". It matches the Rfam family "Bacterial small subunit ribosomal RNA", at positions 30 to 1018 of the family's 1533-position model. The record is from RNAcentral. Lineage: Bacteria; Pseudomonadati; Pseudomonadota; Gammaproteobacteria; Moraxellales; Moraxellaceae.